UUCGAGUGGCGGACGGGUGAGUAACGCGUGGGUAACCUGCCUUACACAGGGGGAUAACACCUGGAAACAGGUGCUAAUACCGCAUAAGCGCACAGGGCCGCAUGGCCCGGUGUGAAAAACUCCGGUGGUGUAAGAUGGACCCGCGUCUGAUUAGCUUGUUGGCGGGGUAGGGGCCCACCAAGGCGACGAUCAGUAGCCGGCCUGAGAGGGUGGACGGCCACAUUGGGACUGAGACACGGCCAAACUCCUACGGGAGGCAGCAG
Molecule: ribosomal RNA, 263 nt
Filed under: uncultured bacterium
Lineage: Bacteria
Description: partial 16S ribosomal RNA
Rfam family: Bacterial small subunit ribosomal RNA
Source: RNAcentral